GAUAUGGUAGUUCAGUGGUUACGAUGUUGGACGUCUGCUCAGAAGGUCGUGAGUUCAAAACCCAGCAGCUGUCG
This is a non-coding RNA of Ameiurus melas (black bullhead), 74 nucleotides long. Lineage: Eukaryota; Metazoa; Chordata; Actinopteri; Siluriformes; Ictaluridae. The record is from the annotation of a GenBank genome assembly.